Molecule: ribosomal RNA, 323 nt
Filed under: uncultured eukaryote
Lineage: Eukaryota
Description: partial 18S ribosomal RNA
Rfam family: Eukaryotic small subunit ribosomal RNA
Source: RNAcentral
CCCUUAGAUGUUCUGGGCCGCACGCGUGCUACACUGAGUGGAUCAGCGGGUCAGGUUGCGCGAAAGUGUUUCCUAAUCUUUAAAUCCGCUCGUGAUGGGGAUUGACGGUUGCAAUUUUCCGUCAUGAACGAGGAAUACCUUGUAAGCGCGGGUCAUCAUCCCGCGCUGAAUACGUCCCUGCCCUUUGUACACACCGCCCGUCGCUACUACCGAUUGAACGUUUUAGUGAGGUAUUUGGACUGGGCCUUGGGAGGUUUCGGCCUCCCUUGUUGCUCGGAAAGACUCCCAAACUUGAGCGUUUAGAGGAAGUAAAAGUCGUAACA